UUUUAAGUCCAAUCUGCCCAAUGAAAAUUUAAAUGGCUGCAGUAUAAAUAACUGUACUAAGGUAGCAUAAUAAUUUGUUUUCUAAUUAAAAACUAGAAUGAAAGAUUUAAUGAAAUAUAUACUUUAUUAAAAUUAUAAAUUAAAUUUUUUAUUUAAGUAAAAAAACUUAAAUAAAAUUUAAAGACAACAAGACCCUAUAAAAUUUUAUUUAAAUUUUAAUUUUAUACAAAUUAAGAUUUAAAUUUAAUUGGGGUAAUUAAAAAAUUAAUAGAACUUUUUUAAUUUAACCAGUAAUAUCUGUAUAAAAUUUCUUAAAAUUUAAAAUAAUAAAAUUAAUUACUUUAGGGAUAACAGCAUAA
Molecule: ribosomal RNA, 359 nt
Filed under: Allorhogas sp. CNIN 747
Lineage: Eukaryota; Metazoa; Arthropoda; Insecta; Hymenoptera; Braconidae
Description: Allorhogas sp. CNIN747 partial 16S ribosomal RNA
Source: RNAcentral